GCACACCGGUUCUAUUGGUAACAAUGAACGCUGGAAAACCCCACUGGGAGCAAGACUAAGUAGAGAUGACAUUGUUGAAAAACUAAAAGCCAUCCUUGGCUAGUCAUCAGGGUUAGUUGCUUGAGCUUAAGAGUGAUCUUAAGCCUAGACAAAUGAUAGGUUUAAAUGACAGAACCCGGCUUAUAGUUUAUCUGGCAAA
This 199-nucleotide RNase P RNA is filed under the name Candidatus Pelagibacter sp. Its description in RNAcentral is "partial RNase P RNA component class A". It matches the Rfam family "Bacterial RNase P class A", at positions 173 to 367 of the family's 367-position model. Rfam says of the family: Ribonuclease P (RNase P) is a ubiquitous endoribonuclease, found in archaea, bacteria and eukarya as well as chloroplasts and mitochondria. Its best characterised activity is the generation of mature 5'-ends of tRNAs by cleaving the 5'-leader elements of precursor-tRNAs. Lineage: Bacteria; Pseudomonadati; Pseudomonadota; Alphaproteobacteria; Candidatus Pelagibacterales; Candidatus Pelagibacteraceae. The record is from RNAcentral.